RNAcentral lists this small nuclear RNA (108 nucleotides) under Castor canadensis (American beaver). The record is from RNAcentral. Lineage: Eukaryota; Metazoa; Chordata; Mammalia; Rodentia; Castoridae.
GUGCUUGCUUCAGGCAGCACAUAUACUAAAACUGGAACAACAUAAAGAAGAUUGAAAUGGUCCCUGUGUAAGGAUGACACACAAAUUCAUGAAGCAUUCUUAUUUUUA